This 72-nucleotide transfer RNA is filed under the name Diddensiella santjacobensis. Its description in RNAcentral is "tRNA-Arg". It matches the Rfam family "tRNA". Rfam says of the family: Transfer RNA (tRNA) molecules are approximately 80 nucleotides in length. Their secondary structure includes four short double-helical elements and three loops (D, anti-codon, and T loops). Further hydrogen bonds mediate the characteristic L-shaped molecular structure. tRNAs have two regions of fundamental functional importance: the anti-codon, which is responsible for specific mRNA codon recognition, and the 3' end, to which the tRNAs corresponding amino acid is attached (by aminoacyl-tRNA synthetases). tRNAs cope with the degeneracy of the genetic code in two manners: having more than one tRNA (with a specific anti-codon) for a particular amino acid; and 'wobble' base-pairing, i.e. permitting non-standard base-pairing at the 3rd anti-codon position. The record is from RNAcentral. Lineage: Eukaryota; Fungi; Ascomycota; Dipodascomycetes; Dipodascales; Trichomonascaceae.
ACACUUAUAGUUUAAGAGGUAGAAUAACAGUAUACGGAACUGUAGAUGUGUGUUCGAGACAUACUAAGUGUU